GGGGAAUUUUCCGCAAUGGGCGAAAGCCUGACGGAGCAAUACCGCGUGAGGGAAGACUGCCUAUGGGUUGUAAACCUCUUUUUUCAGGGAGGAACAAAAUGACGUGUACCUGAAGAAUAAGCAUCGGCUAACUCCGUGCCAGCAGCCGCGGUAAGACGGAGGAUGCAAGUGUUAUCCGGAAUCACUGGGCGUAAAGCGUCUGUAGGUGGUUUAAUAAGUCAACUGUUAAAUCUUGAGGCUCAACUUCAAAAUCGCAGUCGAAACUAUUAGACUAGAGUAUAGUAGAGGUAAAGGGAAUUUCCAGUGGAGCGGUGAAAUGCGUAGAUAUUGGAAAGAACACCGAUGGCGAAAGCACUUUACUGGGCUAUUACUAACACUCAGAGACGAAAGCUAGGGUAGCAAAUGGGAUUAGAUACUCCUGUAGUC
Molecule: ribosomal RNA, 426 nt
Filed under: uncultured cyanobacterium
Lineage: Bacteria; Bacillati; Cyanobacteriota
Description: bacterial SSU rRNA
Rfam family: Bacterial small subunit ribosomal RNA
Source: RNAcentral